GGGAGCAGAAUGGAUCAAAACUCAAAUUGGUCAAAGGAGGACUUUUACCAAAUUAAUAUCAUCCAUUCAUUUUGGGAGAUGGAAUGUACAUUCCAUCAAUCCCUAAAUCCAAUGAUAUUAACUUGACAAAGUCAAAUCAAACUUGACCAAGGUCCAACAAUAAGAGUCAAACUUAUACAAGUCAUUACAAUAGGUCAACACAAUUAAUUGACAUUUAUUCAAAUUAAAAAUACUAAAAUAAUACAUUUAAAUUAAAUAUGGUUUGUCAAAUUUCUAAAACCUC
RNAcentral lists this long non-coding RNA (283 nucleotides) under Lathyrus oleraceus (garden pea). Its description in RNAcentral is "Pisum sativum (pea) long non-coding RNA (PSAT_LNC011764)". Lineage: Eukaryota; Viridiplantae; Streptophyta; Magnoliopsida; Fabales; Fabaceae. The record is from RNAcentral.